CAGUAUGGGUAGGGAUAUAGAGUGUGUGAGGGGAAGUAGAGUAAAUACAUAGUGUGAGAGGCUUCAGUUACAAGACUGAGAAAUCUAAGGUAUCUGACAACAAUGAUGAAACGUGAUGAUCAAAGGCAUAGGAGCAAGCACACAGCCCUCCUUCACUCUAUUGGAGACUGGGAAAGAAGUGUGAAAGUGCUGUUCUUUAUCCAGAACCCGUGCAAGCACGCAGUCAUGGAACUGUAGGACGAUACUGAUGAACCAGGAUUUUGCCAUGAUUUUUCCACGAGCCCUCAUGAUUGCCCGUAUCAAAGACCUUGGUCACUUCUGA
Long non-coding RNA from Sarcophilus harrisii (Tasmanian devil), 322 nucleotides. RefSeq lists it as uncharacterized. The record is from RefSeq and is a predicted model, not a curated record. Lineage: Eukaryota; Metazoa; Chordata; Mammalia; Dasyuromorphia; Dasyuridae. The transcript is spliced from 2 exons.